GACGAACGCUGGCGGCGUGCCUAAUACAUGCAAGUCGAGCGGACGGAUGGGAGCUUGCUCCCAGACCGUCAGCGGCGGACGGGUGAGUAACCCGUGGGCAACCUGCCUGUAAGACUGGGAUAACUCCGGGAAACCGGGGCUAAUACCGGAUAACUCUUUCCCUCACAUGAGGGAAAGCUGAAAGAUGGCAUCUCGCUAUCACUUACAGCUGGGCACGCGGCGCAUUAGCUAGUUGGUGAGGUAACGGCCCACCAAGGCGGCGAUGCGUAGCCGACCUGAGGGGGAGAUCGGCCACCCUGGGACUGAGACACGGCCCAGACUCCGACGGGAGGCAGCAGUAGGGACUCUUCCGCAAUGGACGAAAGUCUGACGGAGCAACGCCGCGUGAGUGAUGAAGGUGUUCGGAUCGGAAAACUCUGUUGUCAGGGAAGAACAAGUACCGGAGUAACUGCCGGUACCUUGACGGUACCUGACCAGAAAGCCACGGCUAACUACGUG
This 498-nucleotide ribosomal RNA is filed under the name uncultured bacterium. Its description in RNAcentral is "partial 16S ribosomal RNA". It matches the Rfam family "Bacterial small subunit ribosomal RNA", at positions 28 to 507 of the family's 1533-position model. The record is from RNAcentral.